GGCUUUCCGCAGUGGCAUCGUAGCCAAUGAGGUUUAUCCGAGGCGCGAUUGUUGCUAAUUGAAAAUACACGUUCAGAUACAGUAGUCUAGUCCUAUGCGGGCCCUAAAUGGGAAAGUUGCUUUCUUGUGGACAAA
Small nuclear RNA from Neogale vison (American mink), 135 nucleotides. Its record names the gene U4. It matches the Rfam family "U4 spliceosomal RNA". From Rfam's summary of the family: U4 small nuclear RNA (U4 snRNA) is a component of the major U2-dependent spliceosome. Lineage: Eukaryota; Metazoa; Chordata; Mammalia; Carnivora; Mustelidae. The record is from Ensembl.